UCAGCGGCAUCCACCCCGCUAUCCCCAACCCUCACGGCCCCCCCAACCUCCCACCAACACCCCACCCGGUCCUUGCGCUUGCCCCCCCACCAUCGUACCCCCACACCCCCAAAACUACUACACUCAACUACCCCCAAGUUCCCCUUAACUCAUUGCAGAGCUGGAGCCAGUGUUCUUCACUCCAGUGUUCUUCGGUCCAGGUCUGGUUCUUUCCCAUGGUUACAAGCUGCUUACAUGCUAGCCUGCACUGUGCAGUGUGGCUAUGCGGCUAGCUGACUCCUCCCACAGCUCUGCUGUCAGCAUGCGAAUGGCGGCGCUGCCAGUAGGCGGAGCUAAUACAGGUCUGCACGGCAACCGCUGUGAUGGAGAACCAGCUGGACCCUGAAUCAGAACCUCAGCCUGGUUCCAGCUCUGUAAUGUGAAAGGGGAUGAACAGCAAAAGGGACACGCCCAUAUUUCCUCCUCCAGUCACAAUCCUGGGGAGAAUUGUGGUUUUAUCUGGGGACCAAAAUGCAUUUAAAACUCACGUAUAACAGUCCUGAGUUACUGUAAAAUUGUAUAAAAUUAAGCAUCUAUCUUAAGUAUCCAUUUCUGUCCAUGAAUCAAUUGUAUUCAAUGUAGUAUUUUACAAAUUAAUAUAUGACAUACUUUUAUUUUAUAUAUGAAUUUUACCAAACUAGUCAAAUGUAUUUUCCUUAAAGCUGUAGUGAAUAUAGUUUUUGUUUUGGCAUAUGUUCUAGUUCAGUCAUAUCAGCUGGCCAUGGGUCUGAUGCUCGUUUGUACAGGCUGGGUUUGUCCAAGAACAUUAUCUGUAGUUUGGACACCUUUGAAAGAGCAAAGUUCUGGCUGAGUGAGGUGGAAGCAGCUGAGCCUACAGUGAGGUGUCUUGUGCAGUAAUGAACUUGAGCAUCUUUGUCAUAUAUUAUCUUAUAUCGUUCACAGUGACAUGAAUGACAUAAGUAAUGAUUUACCUUAUGGUUAUUAGGCUUUUGUUAGUCUCUUAGAUUAUUAAUAGACAAUUGCAUUAAUAAAGCAGUAGUCUAUUAAUAUUCAUCUGAAACUAAUUUAGAGUUGCAUUAGUCUUAAACUAAUUUAUGUUUAUUAGUUCAGGUCUAAUAGACUUAAAGAUCAUGAGUACUGGUGCAGGAUAUUGAAUUAGAGGCUGACUGCUGGUGCCCAUUUGGAAUUGAGUCUGUGAAACACACACGCACACAAACACACAAAAACACACGCACACACACACACACACACACACACACACACGUUCCCUCAGUCCCUUUUCCUGUUGGUGCGCCCCACUCCUCCUCCUCAGUUGCAGUAAUCAGUGAAAGUGUUCUUUCCUCACAUUCUCUAACACUCACCUCAAACCCGCUAACGGUCUGCACUCCCUGGCCUUUUACAACCGAGCUAAAAUAAA
This is a long non-coding RNA of Anguilla rostrata (American eel), 1417 nucleotides long. RefSeq lists it as uncharacterized. The record is from RefSeq and is a predicted model, not a curated record. The transcript has 2 exons. NCBI's taxonomy places the organism in Eukaryota, Metazoa, Chordata, Actinopteri, Anguilliformes, Anguillidae.